GUACUUGCUUCGGCAGUACAUAUACUAAAAUUGGAACGAUACAGAGAAGAUUAGCAUGGCUCGCGUACCGCCCUGGGAAAUUUGGCGUGACAUGUCCCAUAUAUUG
Molecule: small nuclear RNA, 106 nt
Filed under: Trachymyrmex cornetzi
Lineage: Eukaryota; Metazoa; Arthropoda; Insecta; Hymenoptera; Formicidae
Source: RNAcentral